UCUCCCUACGGGAGGCAGCAGUGGGGAAUAUUGCACAAUGGGGGAAACCCUGAUGCAGCGACGCCGCGUGAGUGAAGAAGUAUUUCGGUAUGUAAAGCUCUAUCAGCAGGGAAGAAAAUGACGGUACCUGACUAAGAGGCCCCGGCUAACUACGUGCCAGCAGCCGCGGUAAUACGUAGGGGGCAAGCGUUAUCCGGAUUUACUGGGUGUAAAGGAAGCGUAGGGGGCAUGGUAAGCCAGAAGUGAAAACACGGGGCUCAACCCCGCGGAUGGCUUUUGGAACUAUCAGGCUGGAGUGCUGGAGG
RNAcentral lists this ribosomal RNA (305 nucleotides) under uncultured bacterium. RNAcentral describes it as "bacterial SSU rRNA". It matches the Rfam family "Bacterial small subunit ribosomal RNA", at positions 335 to 655 of the family's 1533-position model. The record is from RNAcentral.